This 487-nucleotide ribosomal RNA is filed under the name uncultured bacterium. RNAcentral describes it as "partial 16S ribosomal RNA". It matches the Rfam family "Bacterial small subunit ribosomal RNA", at positions 28 to 507 of the family's 1533-position model. The record is from RNAcentral.
GAUGAACGCUAGCGAUAGGCUUAACACAUGCAAGUCGAGGGGCAGCACAAGGUAGCUUGCUAUCUGGGUGGCGACCGGCGCACGGGUGCGUAACGCGUAUGCAACUUGCCCUAUACAGGAGGAUAACCCGUCGAAAGAUGGACUAAUACUGCGUAUGCUCACAACUUGGCAUCAAGUGGUGAGGAAAGAAAUUCGGUAUAGGAUAGGCAUGCGUCCCAUUAGCUUGUUGGUGAGGUAACGGCUCACCAAGGCAACGAUGGGUAGGGGAACUGAGAGGUUUAUCCCCCACACUGGUACUGAGACACGGACCAGACUCCUACGGGAGGCAGCAGUGAGGAAUAUUGGUCAAUGGGCGCGAGCCUGAACCAGCCAAGUCGCGUGAAGGAUGACUGUCUUAUGGAUUGUAAACUUCUUUUAUACGGGAAUAACAAGAGUCACGUGUGACUCCCUGCAUGUACCGUAUGAAUAAGCAUCGGCUAACUCCGUG